UGUAGUAAUCUAGCAGGAGUAUAUUUAGAAUAGGGUUGAGUUUGGUGAAUCAUCUAUUACUAUGCAGUACUGGAGAAGGAACAAUAGAUUUUUGGCGAUAGAGAAAAGUAGUGUGAACGAAAGAAAUAAAUAGAUUAAUAGUAGUAGUAAAUAUUCGUACCUUUUGCAUAAUGGUCUAGUAACUUUUUACUCUAAGGGGGGAUCCCGAAGAUUAGGUGAGCUAUUUUUCACCCAGAGGUUGGUGUUACAGAACCAUCUCAAGAGUGGAGAAUAGGUGUUAUAUGCUUGGCGUACUAAUCGAUAGCUGGUUAGCCCAGAAAUAUAUAUAAGUAUAGCUUCUUUCGGGUAGUUUAGCGGAAGGCAAGUUGCAGAAGGAAAGAGAGCUUUUUCAGGAUAAGCUGGAAAAGCAAAUAAAAAGAAUGCAAUUAUUUUAGUGAAGUUUAAAGUGGGUUUAUAUUAAUCAUCUUUAGAAGUUUGUUUUAAAUUAGACUUAGUGAGAAUUUUUUUUUCUUUUUUUUAUGGGCUUAUCCCAUAAAAUAAUUUUGUGGGAGAAAUAAUGCUAGAAUUAUUAGUUUAAUGUGGUGUUUGGGAAAUUUUUUCAGGUGUUAUUUUUUUAGGGAAGAGAUAGGAAUAUUAAGCAAAGUUUAAUGAACUCGGCAAAUUAGAAGAUUGACUGUUUACCAAAUACAUAGCCUUUCGGGGGUAUAAGAGAGGUUGGGCCUUCCCGGUGAGUUAAAAUCUUAAACGGACGUCUUAACAGGCUUAAAGUAGUGAAAACUCUUUAUCAGAGUUUUAGCGAAAGGUUUUACGAGUUUUCGGCUGUGUCAGAUUUGUUGUAAUAAAAUUAAAUUGGGGGUGCAAAUGCUUUCGUGAUUUAGGAGGACGAGAAGACCCCGUGAAGUUUAAAUUUUAUUGUUGUUGUUUUUAGUGAAGGGCUAUAGUAAAAUUUUAGCUGGGGCAGCGGAGGGGCUAAAUUAAGACCCCUUAGAUUUUUUUUUAAGUAUAUUAAGAUCCACUAGAGUGUUUUAGUGAUUAAAAGAAGGAAUUACUCCGGGGAUAACAGCAUAAUUCCUCUGAAAAGUUCUUAUUGAAAGAGGGGUUUGUGACCUCGAUGUUGAUUCAGAAUAUCCCGGGGUUUGUAGAAGGCCCCAAUGGUUGGUUUGUUUGCCCAUUAAAAUUCUACGUGAGUUGAGUUCAGGCCGGUGUGAGCUAGGCCGGUUUCUACCCUCUUUAUUAAAUAAAAGCAGUGUGUACGCAAGGAUAAUUGUUUUAGGGUUGGUUUCCUUAAGAAUAGAUUAAGACAGUAAUUUAUAAUAUAAGAAGGAAUAGAGCGGUAAAAGCAGGUCGAACUAGUAUAAGAAGUACA
RNAcentral lists this ribosomal RNA (1366 nucleotides) under Catillopecten margaritatus. Its description in RNAcentral is "Catillopecten sp. m YTL-2023 16S ribosomal RNA". It matches the Rfam family "Bacterial large subunit ribosomal RNA". Lineage: Eukaryota; Metazoa; Mollusca; Bivalvia; Pectinida; Propeamussiidae. The record is from RNAcentral.